This 478-nucleotide ribosomal RNA is filed under the name uncultured bacterium. RNAcentral's name for it is "partial 16S ribosomal RNA". It matches the Rfam family "Bacterial small subunit ribosomal RNA", at positions 27 to 507 of the family's 1533-position model. The record is from RNAcentral.
GGAUUAACGCUGGCGGCGUGCAUAACACAUGCAAGUCGAACGAUGAAACUUAAAUGAUUUCUUCGGAAUGAACUUAAGUGGAUUAGUGGCGGACGGGUGAGUAACGCGUGAGUAACCUGCCUUACACAAGGGGAUAGCCGUUGGAAACGACGAAUAAUACCCUAUGAAACUAUCACUUCGCAUGAAGCGAUAGUCAAAGUGUUAGCGGUGUAAGAUGGACUUGCGUCUGAUUAGCUAGUUGGUGAGAAAAAAGCCCACCAAGGCAACGAUCAGUAGCCGGCUUGAGAGAGUGGACGGCAACAUUGGGACUGAGACACGGCCCAGACUCCUACGGGAGGCAGCAGUGGGGAAUUUUGCACAAUGGGGGAAACCCUGAUGCAGCGACGCCGCGUGAUUUAGAAGGCCUUCGGGUUGUAAAAAUCUUUUGUAUAGGAAGAAAAUGACAGUACUAUACGAAUAAGGUCCGGCUAAUUACGUG